This is a non-coding RNA of Vicia faba (fava bean), 249 nucleotides long. Lineage: Eukaryota; Viridiplantae; Streptophyta; Magnoliopsida; Fabales; Fabaceae. The record is from the annotation of a GenBank genome assembly.
AUGGUUUGCUUAGUUUGUUUGCUUCCCCUCUUUCUCGUCCCAAUCGUCAACGUUCUUCCUCUACUCUUCGAUUUUAUCAUGGGGAAAAUCUAUGGGCUUUUUGGUUGGGAGUAUAGGAAACCAGAGAGAGCUCCUCCAGCAUGUCCUAUCAAGUCUUCAAAUAACACUAUUAGUAAAGACAAAGCACAUGCUGGACCAUCCCCGACAGAACCCGCUAAACCCGGAAGUGUAGAUGUCAAGCAGGAUUAA